GAUUAACGCUGGCGGCGUGCCUAACACAUGCAAGUCGAGCGGCAGCGAGUUUUACACUGAAUUCUGGAAGCUUCUAGUUGAAAGAGAAGAUUUAUUCAAGAAUUUUGUGUAAAAUGUCGGCGAGCGGCGGACGGCUGAGUAACGCGUGGGAACGUACCCCAAAGUGAGGGAUGACGCAUCGAAAGGUGUGCUAAUACCGCAUAUGGUCUUCGGAUUAAAGCCUUCGGGCGCUUUGGGAGCGGCCUGCGUAAGAUUAGAUAGUUGGUGGGGUAAUGGCCUACCAAGUCGACGAUCUUUAACUGGUUUGAGAGGAUGAUCAGUCAGACUGGAGCUGAGACACGGUCCAGACUCCUACGAGAGGCAGCAGUGAGGAAUCUUCCACAAUGGGCGAAAGCCUGAUGGAGCAACGCCGCGUGCAGGAUGAAGGCCUUCGGGUUGUAAACUGCUUUUAUAAGUGAGGAUUAUGACAGUAACUUAUGAAUAAGGAUCGGCUAACUACGUG
Molecule: ribosomal RNA, 502 nt
Filed under: uncultured bacterium
Lineage: Bacteria
Description: partial 16S ribosomal RNA
Rfam family: Bacterial small subunit ribosomal RNA
Source: RNAcentral